Molecule: ribosomal RNA, 496 nt
Filed under: uncultured bacterium
Lineage: Bacteria
Description: partial 16S ribosomal RNA
Rfam family: Bacterial small subunit ribosomal RNA
Source: RNAcentral
AUGAACGCUGGCGGCGUGCCUAAUCCAUGCAAGUCGAGCGCACAGACGAGGAGCUUGCUCCUCUGACGUUAGCGGCGGACGGGUGAGUAACACGUGGAUAACCUACCUAUAAGACUGGGAUAACUUCGGGAAACCGGAGCUAAUACCGGAUAAUAUAUUGAACCGCAUGGUUCAAUAGUGAAAGACGGUUUUGCUGUCACUUAUAGAUGGAUCCGCGCCGCAUUAGCUAGUUGGUAAGGUAACGGCUUACCAAGGCGACGAUGCGUAGCCGACCUGAGAGGGUGAUCGGCCACACUGGAACUGAGACACGGUCCAGACUCCUACGGGAGGCAGCAGUAGGGAAUCUUCCGCAAUGGGCGAAAGCCUGACGGAGCAACGCCGCGUGAGUGAUGAAGGUCUUCGGAUCGUAAAACUCUGUUAUUAGGGAAGAACAAAUGUGUAAGUAACUAUGCACGUCUUGACGGUACCUAAUCAGAAAGCCACGGCUAACUACGUG